Molecule: ribosomal RNA, 29 nt
Filed under: fungal endophyte sp. AP710
Lineage: Eukaryota; Fungi
Description: partial 28S ribosomal RNA
Source: RNAcentral
GGUUGGCCUCGGAUCAGGUAGGAUACCCG